This 251-nucleotide ribosomal RNA is filed under the name uncultured prokaryote. RNAcentral's name for it is "partial 16S rRNA". It matches the Rfam family "Bacterial small subunit ribosomal RNA", at positions 525 to 775 of the family's 1533-position model. The record is from RNAcentral.
ACGGAGGGUGCAAGCGUUGUUCGGAAUUACUGGGCGUAAAGGGCAUGCAGGCGGUUUGUUAAGUCAGAUGUGAAAUCCCCGGGCUUAACCCGGGAACUGCAUUUGAUACUGGUAAGCUUGAGUUUUGGAGAGGGAGGUAGAAUUCCAGGUGUAGCGGUGAAAUGCGUAGAGAUCGGGAGGAAUACCAGUGGCGAAGGCGCCCUCCUGGACAGAAACUGACGCUGAGAUGCGAAAGCGUGGGGAGCAAACAG